This 494-nucleotide ribosomal RNA is filed under the name uncultured bacterium. RNAcentral's name for it is "partial 16S ribosomal RNA". It matches the Rfam family "Bacterial small subunit ribosomal RNA", at positions 28 to 507 of the family's 1533-position model. The record is from RNAcentral.
GACGAACGCUGGCGGCGCGCUUAACACAUGCAAGUCGAACGGAAAGGCCUGCUUUCCCUUGUGGAUUGCGGGUACUCGAGUGGCGAACGGGUGAGUAACACGUGAGUGAUCUGCCCCCAACUUGGGUAUAAGCCUGGGAAACUGGGUCUAAUUCCCGAUAGGACUGCAGGGUGGUGCCUGUGGUGGAAAACGAUUUUCUAGUGGUUGGGGAUGAGCUCGCGGCCUAUCAGCUUGUGGGUGGGGUAAUGGCCUACCAAGGCGGCGACGGGUAGCCGGCCUGGGGGGGUGGACGGCCACAUUGGGACUGAGAUACGGCCAAGACUCCUACGGGAGGCAGCAGUGGGGAAUAUUGCACAAUGGGCGGAAGCCUGAUGCAGCGACGCCGCGUGGGGGAUGACGGCCUUCGGGUUGUAAACUCCUUUCGACCGCGAGGAAGCCACCUGGUUGGAAGGGUGGUGACGGUAGUGGUAGAAGAAGCACCGGCUAACUACGUG